GUUUGACAGGUUGGUAGGUUGGUCAGUACAGUUAGCAAGUUUAAUAUAACUAACUCUUAAACUAUUGUCUGUCGCUGCUAAAGAUCACAUAAACACGUAUCACGAUGUGGCAGCGGUUUAAUUUAAAAGCCGUAUCUGUUACAUUUGAUUAUCUGAGCUUGGCACCAACUGUGAUACCCAUCUGCCAGUUAUACCUCUGUCUAGUGAAGUGCAGCCCACAAAUACAGCAUGUCCUCCCAGGAUGAAGAUGGGACUGUAGAGCCGGGCCACAACACUGCGGAACCAUCCACUUCUUCCUCCAAUGAGAAUGAUGAGACCACUGAGGACAUCAUCACUGUCACCAUCGGAGCAACUGUGCCCACAGGGUUCGAGCACACUGCUGCAGAAGAGGUCAAUGAGAAGAUUGGAGUUGAUGCACGAAUCAGCAAAGAUCGUGGUCGCAUAUACUUUCCAAUAACCACUGACAAGCUUUUCCAGGUCCAUCUUCUGAGGUCUGUGGACAACCUGUUUGUUGUGGUUGAGGAAUAUGAUCAUUACCAGUUCAAAGAAUCAAAGGAGGAGACAUUGAUGGAGAUGCAGCAGCUUGCCUCCAAACUCCCCUGGACUAAGGCUUUAGAGGUUUGGAAACGAAAUGGCACCCUAAAAAAGAAGAAAGGCUACCGGAAAGGUGGAAAUGGUAUCAAAGUAAAACCUAAUAGUGAGGCCACCGAUGCAGCUGUUGCUGACACUGAGCAGCAAGAGCUACCGCAGGCGGCGUCUGCUGCUGAAUGCCUGACUAAGGCGGAGAACACAGCUGACAUGGAGACCAGCACGCAAGAGUUGGAGGAGACAGCACCCGAGGCCAAACCCAUCAAGUUUCGUGUGACGUGCAACAGGGCUGGUGACAAACACAGCUUUUCUUCUAACGAGGCAGCCAGAGACUUUGGUGGGGCCGUGCAAGAAUUCUUCCAGUGGAAAGCAGACAUGACAAAGUUUGACAUAGAGGUGUUACUAAACAUACACAAUGAAGAGAUGGUGAUUGGCAUUGCACUCACAGAAGAGAGUCUUCACAGGAGAAACAUCAGUCACUUUGGACCCACUACUCUGCGGUCUACCUUGUGCUAUGGCAUGCUCAGGCUGUGUAAACCACAGGCAUCGGAUAUAAUACUUGAUCCAAUGUGUGGGACUGGAGCUAUACCAUUGGAGGGGGCCAUUGAAUUUAACAGUUCAUUCUACGUUGCCGGUGACAACAAUGACAUGGCAGUUAACCGCACUGUCAAUAAUAUUUGUCACAUCCAGAAACGGAGGGCAAUCAAGGGCAGUGCAUCUGGAUUGCCUAUUGACACAGUGCGUUGGGAUCUGUGCAAUUUACCCAUAAGGACCGGCUCUGUUGACAUUAUCAUCACUGACAUGCCCUUUGGGAAGAGAAUGGGCUCUAGGAAGAAGAACUGGGACCUGUACCCCUCCUGUCUGAGGGAAAUGGCCCGUGUGUGCACACCAGGCUCAGGAAAGGCUGUCUUGUUGACACAGGACAAGAAAUGCUUGGCCAAGGCUAUCUCGAGGAUGGGAGGGCUGUGGAGGAAGCUGCACACUGUUUGGGUCAAUGUUGGGGGUUUACAUGCUGGAGUCUACCUCCUCAAGCGAACCGGGGCCGUGUUUGGCCAAACUCCGGAGGAUGUCUAUGAGUCACGAGGGACGGUUAAUGCAGAAGGGGAUGAGAAGGGUGACAAGGAGCUCUCUUAAUUUACAUCCUGCAUAUAAGUUCCGAAUUUAUAUUUAAGGUCAUGAAUGAUUGAUAUUUUUUGUAUUUUUAUUACUUUGUUCAGCGUUAAGAAUCUCUGGUCAAGUUUGCCAAGCAUUUGUGUGUAAUUUUUUUAUUUCUCAUUUAGUUUAAUGUGAAAAACGCCUAACUGGAAAGAGAAAAGCUAUUUUUUAUCUUCAGAAGCAGUGUUGGUUCUCACACUCUGUAUGACUGAGGCAGUUCAUUUGUCAUAUUGCGGUUCAUAAACCUGCUGAAGGUGGUUUUAACUGCACGAUUCCCCCCCCCGAGACUCGCUGU
Molecule: RNA transcript, 2038 nt
Organism: Etheostoma spectabile (orangethroat darter)
Lineage: Eukaryota; Metazoa; Chordata; Actinopteri; Perciformes; Percidae
Gene: thumpd3
Gene name: THUMP domain containing 3
Exons: 11
Source: RefSeq, a predicted model, not a curated record